This 243-nucleotide ribosomal RNA is filed under the name uncultured bacterium. RNAcentral describes it as "partial 16S ribosomal RNA". It matches the Rfam family "Bacterial small subunit ribosomal RNA", at positions 534 to 776 of the family's 1533-position model. The record is from RNAcentral.
GCUAGCGUUGCUCGGAAUCACUGGGCGUAAAGCGCACGUAGGCGGAUCUUUAAGUCAGGGGUGAAAUCCCAAGGCUCAACCUUGGAACUGCCUUUGAUACUGGGGAUCUCGAGUCCGGAAGAGGUGAGUGGAACUGCGAGUGUAGAGGUGAAAUUCGUAGAUAUUCGCAAGAACACCAGUGGCGAAGGCGGCUCACUGGCCCGAUACUGACGCUGAGGCACGAAAGCGUGGGGAGCAAACAGG